UCCCUGGUGAACUAGUGGCUAGCAUGUGGUGCUCUCACCACCAUAGCCUGGGUUCAAUUCCUGGUCAGGGAA
This is a non-coding RNA of Pangasius djambal, 72 nucleotides long. The record is from the annotation of a GenBank genome assembly. Lineage: Eukaryota; Metazoa; Chordata; Actinopteri; Siluriformes; Pangasiidae.